Long non-coding RNA from Suricata suricatta (meerkat), 4646 nucleotides. RefSeq lists it as uncharacterized. The transcript has 3 exons. NCBI's taxonomy places the organism in Eukaryota, Metazoa, Chordata, Mammalia, Carnivora, Herpestidae. The record is from RefSeq and is a predicted model, not a curated record.
UAGUGUGUGUCCGUCUGUCUGAGUAUAUAACUGCAAGCCACAAACAUGAGGGCCAUAGGUGGCCAUAGCCAUGGCUCAUGGCUUGGUGGGGAAGACAAACAUGUCAGUGUAGAUAGCUCCAAAGUGUUACAGAUUCUGUGAGAGAAAAGAAUCAGACAAAUGUGAAACACCAAGGAAGGACAGGCGGGUUCUACCUAAGGCAUGGGAUGGGUUAGGAGCCUUCAGAGAGGAACGGAAGCUUGAGUUGGCCACACAGUGGACUAGGGCUGAGUCACAGAGGGUCUUGAGCCCCAGGCUAAGAAAUGGGGCUUUGUGCCACAGGUCGUACAUAGAAACCCACUGGAGAAACUGGUCACUCUCUAUCAUAAAAAUAAGGCAAGGAUCAAAUUAAACUGGAUGAAAAUGCACUGUGGAAAUGUACAAUGGGGCUUCCACAGGCUUGUCAAGGUCAUCCUGCCAAGGGGCUGUAGACAUUUGUCAUACUGGAGUAUGCCCAUUACCCCAGCCACCCCAUGGUUUGGUCUGAAAUUCACAUGUCUCAGCCCAUCCUGCUUGUUGGGAAAUGGAUCUAAUCUGCUCACCAGAAGAAAGGACAGUAGGUGGGAGCUUCCAGCCAGCUGUUACAUAAAUAUUAGAGAAGAACUUCUUCAAUGGAAGCAAUUCUUGAUGGUUUUAUCUUGUUUAUGCUCCUUUGGAAGAGAUGUUGCUCAAUUGUUUUCCAUUUCUCAUCUGAGCUUUCUUAUCAUUACAGCAACAGAGAUGACUCAGGGGCCAAGAGGUUUUGUGGGGAGAGGGGGGAGAGUGAUACAAAAAACCUACGGGCACUUUAACAUCCACAAUCAUAUCAACAUGUUAUGGAAAGAUGUGGUUCUGGAAUUGGACAGACUUGAACAAAAAUCUCCACUCUAGCACUAACUACCUCUGUGACCUAGGAAGAGUAAACUUCUUUGCUUCAAUUCUAAUCCACAAAAUGAAGAUUAAACUAUUUUAGUUUUAGGGUGUUUUGAAUAUGAAAUUCAAUAAGAAUAUGAGCUUGUCAGGAACUGUGAGGGUGCUGAGAUUUUGCCUGCUUGUGAGGUAAGCCAAGCCUGUAACAGUUCCAUGCCUGCUGACAGAAGACACAGGACAAAGGGCUUUCUUACUCACAGCAAGGGCAUGGACAUCAGCAUUUGUGUGGACCUUCCUGUUUCUUAGCCCCAGGUGGGCAGUGCGGGUGCUCCCCAGUGGACACUUGUCCACAGGGUAUGUUGACUUCCAAAAGAAGAACCUUGAGCUAAAAGAACCAGAGUCUCUUUUGAUGGGCAGUAAGCAUGCCUGCCCCUCUGAUCUGAGAAAGGCUCCAUCUCAGUCUCCCAAAGCUGUUUGCUAUACAAAUGUCUUUGAAAAGAUAGUCCAGAACAGCCAGUUCAUGCCUCACAAGAUGUGAGAAAUUUGAGAGACCCAAGAACCAUUUUCCCCCAAAACUGGUGCCCGUGAGAGCUCAAUACGUACUGAAUAAGUGUGUACACACAUUAAACUCUAGCAAUGUGUUAAGUAGCUGGACUAGGAGCCCAUUGAAGUAUCCCCACCUUGUCACCAGCCAACCAAAAAGCAUAUUCUGCUUCCUAAAGCCAAUGGAGGAGUUUCAAGGAGAAAACUUUUCUCCAUCCUUUUGCUAAUCCCUGAGAGAUGUGGCUGCAGGUUUUGUGGGGUUUAUUGGUUUGCUGUCAUAAGAACAAAUAGAGGUAACACUAUGGGAAUGUCUCAGUUCAUGGGUAAACUCAUAAAUCCAGAGCCUUGACAAUGAGGCUUGAUGGAAUUCUCCAGCUUCUACUUCUAAGGUCACCCAGUGAUCAAGAGGUCUCUCUUACCAACAUUAUAGAUCUCAGAGGAUGCUUUAGAUAGGCAGACCCCCCCCCCCCCCAGUCUUUAACUUUAAACCAAACACGUUGGCCACCUUUUGUUUUUCAGAUAGCUGAAAUCAUUCUUUUUCUCCCGAAGUCAAAGAGUAAGAAAGAGUUCUACAUUCAGCUCUCCAAGGAUACAGCACUCCAGGUGCUCCCUUGGAUGUCCCAUGAGCAGGCCACCUCUUCCUUUGGGGAGGACCAUUUAGGUCACAGCCACUGCUCAUCAGACAUUGUCUUCUAAGGGUGACAAGUGGAGACAUUAGGACAAAAUGAUGGCACGGGAGAAACAGUGGGAAUCAGAAGCCUCUACACAUCCUGUCUCUGACCAGAGAUGCAGGGAAUGAGACCCGGAGGUGGCAGAGAAGAACGGACUGCUAAGGCAUGUUUGUGUGGUGCAAGGCGGGAUAGAGACAGGAGGGCAUUUCUGACUUUGGCUCUGAAGCUUUUCUCAGGCCAGAGCCCCAUCCUGGCCCACAUACAACUAGGAUACAUAAAAAAGGCUAUGCUUAAAGGCCAGCAAAUUAACCGGGCAUGUGCCAGACAAGGCCACAUAAACCAAUCUGUGUCCUUAUGUCCAACCUUCUCAUUUCCCUUGGAGAGGAAAAAAUGGGGUUUGGAGACUCCAAAGGGGGCAGGCUCCACCUAUUUUGUAAAUACAAGCACUUGUGCCAUACUAGCAACUAGGCAACACCAGUAUCUGGCUAACACUGAUACCUGGCAAUGUUGGGCACUUGUGCAAUCCUAGUAUAUGUGCAAUACUGAUUCCUGAGCAAUACUCGCAGCUGGGCACUACUGGGUACCCAGGCAGCAGUGGGCACUUGUGAAGCCCUCCCACCACCCUCUGUGUCCCUGACAGCCAUUACUGAUUGAUUACAUCAUUCUACCACCAGAGCCCGGCUGGGCUUCAUUAUUACCCCCUCAUCUCAAUCCCAGCAGCCUGAGCCAGGCCCAGAUGUGAUCUGACAAUGGAAGUGACCUUGUUGGCAUCUUGCUAUUGCUUGUCACUAGCUAAAGAAGAUAAGCUGGCUCCUGGGAGUUGACAUGGAGCAGAAUGGGGAGGCUCCUCUCUUUUAGUCUUCAUUUUCUCAUCAGCGUAAAGGGGAUGAAAAGUCCUAGCCUCCCUGCUUCAUGAAACUAUUCGGAGUAGCCAGUGCUGAGACGGCGUUGCAAAUGUGUGGUGGGCUGAAAGCCUCCCCCACCAGUCUUCUUAUCCUUGCCAAUGCCUUGUUGAAAUGUACCAUGCAAAACAUAUGGAGGGUCCUCCCCACACACAGACAUGUUCGAUUUUCAAAAUAACAAAGCUGGAGAGUGUCAACAGCCAAACUGAACUGGAAUUUUUGGCAGCCAACAGCAGCUUCCCCCCUAGGGAGGUAGAAGGAAGUUCUUUAACUUGUUUAUCCCACUUAUUAUUAAUCACCUGCCAUUGAAAAAUGAUUCUAAGAGGAAAAAAUGUGCCACUGAAUUACUAAUCAAAUAAAUAAGUAUAUGCAUUUUAUUUUACUAAUUAAGGCAGAGACUAUCUAAAAGAAGCUUAUCCAAAGCCACUAAAGGUACAAUGGGCACAUGCUGGUAGAGCAGACUCGGCAGUACCUUUGGCAGUGUGCCAAGAAUCUCAUAAAUGUUCACAUUCUUUGACCCUAAAAUUCUUUCUCUAGAAGUCUAUCUUGAGAAAAUAUCUUGAAAUGCAGACCAAGAUUUCAGUUAAAAAGCAUCUUUAAUAGCUCUGUUUACAGUAAGGGAAAUAUACAACUGCUUAAGUAUUUAUCAUUAGAGGAAUGUUAAGAAAAUUAUGAUGUGGACUUGCAAUUAGAUAUUCUGAAGCAAUAAAAUGAUGUUACAGAGAAUUGUUAAUAAGUUCAAGAAAUGCUUGUGAUAUAAUGUUAAGGGGGAAAAAUUAAAAUACAUGAUACACCCCCAAUGCAAACUCAGCCAUCCUAAAAAGGCACAGGAAAGAGUGGAAAGCCCACCUGCAUGCUAACAGUAACCAUUUAGGGCAUGAAGGCCUUUGAGAGACGUUUCCUCAAGAAUCAAGGAAGCUUUUCUGAGACUCCUCGCCCUUUGGAAGUGGAGACCAGAGCUUCACCACGGCCUGUUUGGUCUUUGCCCUUGGGGUUUGGUGCCUUUAUGGGCUCCCUCACCCUGCUGUGUAUCUUUGUCAAGGGGUCCACACCGCCACAUUGUGAGUCUGCAAAGUGGAUGUCUCCCUCUCUGUCUCAGCAACUGCAGAAAACUUCAGCUCCUCUGGACAAACGGAGGUACUGCUGCAGGCAGUAAUAGACCCAGCUAUGGAACCUAGGAGAACAGAGGGGAAAUGCCAUCUUCCCCUGCAAGCUCAUCUAACUCUAGUUUUCUUCCAAAGAUACCCUCCCCAAAUACCACCCCACUGGGGCUUACAGCUUCAACAUAUAACAUCCAGGCCACCACAGUCAGGAUUUCUCUGUCUCUUGCUAUCAGGAAUAAAACAGACUCUGCUGCCCAGCCUCUCCCCCUUCUUCAAGGAUAGGCUCCCAGCCCACACCUUCCCCUAUAAUUUAUAUACAGUCCUCCAAGUCCCUGGGGACUCACCCUCUAGCCACAGUUGAUUGGUCCAGAAGAAGCACCUGAACCAAGUGGAGCCAAUCACAGGACUCCCAUCCCCCUCCCAAGACCCACACACUUAUAGAUGAGGACUUUGGCUCUAGUUGUGCUCAACUCUGAGCUCUUCUGUAUGAUUUUUUUUUAAUUUUUAAUGUUUCUAGUUAUUUUUGAGAGAAAAGGACA